This 135-nucleotide small nucleolar RNA is filed under the name Ovis aries (sheep). Lineage: Eukaryota; Metazoa; Chordata; Mammalia; Artiodactyla; Bovidae. The record is from RNAcentral.
UUGGCCCUGAAUCAAGGCCAGCAGUUUGCGGAAGCUGUCAAUGUUAAGCAGGAGCCUAAAGAAAUCUUUGUAUGGUCUGUUGGCCUUUUCAGAACUUUGAAAAUGAAAUAGUCGAAUGAUUCAAAAGAAACAUCU